RNAcentral lists this ribosomal RNA (893 nucleotides) under uncultured archaeon. RNAcentral describes it as "bacterial SSU rRNA". It matches the Rfam family "Archaeal small subunit ribosomal RNA", at positions 26 to 921 of the family's 1478-position model. The record is from RNAcentral.
ACUGCUAUCGGUGUUCGCCUAAGCCAUGCGAGUCAUAUGUAGCAAUACAUGGCGUACUGCUCAGUAACACGUGGAUAACCUGCCCUUGGGUCCGGCAUAACCCCGGGAAACUGGGGAUAAUUCCGGAUACCGCAUAUGUGCUGGAAUGCUUUAUGCGUAAAAUGGAUUCGUCUGCCCAAGGAUGGGUCUGCGGCCUAUCAGGUAGUAGUGGGUGUAAUGUACCUACUAGCCGACAACGGGUACGGGUUGUGAGAGCAAGAGCCCGGAGAUGGAUUCUGAGACAUGAAUCCAGGCCCUACGGGGCGCAGCAGGCGCGAAAACUUUACAAUGCGGGAAACCGUGAUAAGGGGACACCGAGUGUCAGCGUCAUACGCUGGCUGUCCAGGUGUGUAAAAUACACCUGUUAGCAAGGGCCGGGCAAGACCGGUGCCAGCCGCCGCGGUAACACCGGCGGCCCGAGUGGUGAUCGUGAUUAUUGGGUCUAAAGGGUCCGUAGCCGGUUUGGUCAGUCCUCCGGGAAAUCUGAUAGCUCAACUAUUAGGCUAUCGGGGGAUACUACCAGACUUGGAACCGGGAGAGGUAAGAGGUACUACAGGGGUAGGAGUGAAAUCUUGUAAUCCCUGUGGGACCACCUGUGGCGAAGGCGUCUUACCAGAACGGGUUCGACAGUGAGGGACGAAAGCUGGGGGCACGAACCGGAUUAGAUACCCGGGUAGUCCCAGCCGUAAACGAUGCUCGCUAGGUGUCAGGCAUGGCGCGACCGUGUCUGGUGCCGCAGGGAAGCCGUGAAGCGAGCCACCUGGGAAGUACGGCCGCAAGGCUGAAACUUAAAGGAAUUGGCGGGGGAGCACAACAACGGGUGGAGCCUGCGGUUUAAUUGGAUUCAACGCCGG